GCAUAUCAAUAAGCGGAGGAAAAGAAACCAACAGGGAUUGCCUCAGUAACGGCGAGUGAAGCGCCAGGCCUUUCAAAUAAA
This 81-nucleotide ribosomal RNA is filed under the name Parmelia pseudolaevior. RNAcentral's name for it is "partial 28S ribosomal RNA". The stretch from base 1 to 66 matches the Rfam family "Eukaryotic large subunit ribosomal RNA", at positions 38 to 103 of the family's 3401-position model. The record is from RNAcentral. Lineage: Eukaryota; Fungi; Ascomycota; Lecanoromycetes; Lecanorales; Parmeliaceae.